UCCAGACUCCUACGGGAGGCAGCAGUGGGGAAUAUUGCACAAUGGGGGAAACCCUGAUGCAGCGACGCCGCGUGAGUGAAGAAGUAUUUCGGUAUGUAAAGCUCUAUCAGCAGGGAAGAAAAUGACGGUACCUGACUAAGAAGCCCCGGCUAACUACGUGCCAGCAGCCGCGGUAAUACGUAGGGGGCAAGCGUUAUCCGGAUUUACUGGGUGUAAAGGGAGCGUAGACGGCAUGGCAAGUCAGAUGUGAAAGCCCGGGGCUCAACCCCGGGACUGCAUUUGAAACUGUCAGGCUGGAGUGCAGGAGAGGUAAGUGGAAUUCCUAGUGUAGCGGUGAAAUGCGUAGAUAUACGGAGGAACACCAGUGGCGAAGGCGGCCUGCUGGACAUUAACUGACGCUGAGGCGCGAAAGCGUGGGGAGCAAACAGGAUUAGAUACCCGAGUA
Molecule: ribosomal RNA, 445 nt
Filed under: uncultured bacterium
Lineage: Bacteria
Description: bacterial SSU rRNA
Rfam family: Bacterial small subunit ribosomal RNA
Source: RNAcentral